GCUCAAAUUUGAAAGCUAGCCUUCGGGUUCGCAUUGUAAUUUGUAGAGGAUGAUUUGGGGAAGCCGCCUGUCUAAGUUCCUUGGAACAGGACGUCAUAGAGGGUGAGAAUCCCGUAUGUGACAGGAAAUGGCACCCUAUGUAAAUCUCCUUCGACGAGUCGAGUUGUUUGGGAAUGCAGCUCUAAAUGGGAGGUAAAUUUCUUCUAAAGCUAAAUAUUGGCGAGAGACCGAUAGCGCACAAGUAGAGUGAUCGAAAGAUGAAAAGCACUUUGGAAAGAGAGUUAAAAAGCACGUGAAAUUGUUGAAAGGGAAGCGCUUGCAAUCAGACUUGUUUAAACUGUUCGGCCGGUCUUCUGACCGGUUUACUCAGUUUGGACAGGCCAGCAUCAGUUUCGGCGGCCGGAUAAAGGCUCUGGGAAUGUGGCCUCCACUUCGGUGGAGGUGUUAUAGCCCAGGGUGUAAUACGGCCAGCCGGGACUGAGGUCCGCGC
RNAcentral lists this ribosomal RNA (490 nucleotides) under Aureobasidium pullulans. Its description in RNAcentral is "eukaryotic LSU rRNA". It matches the Rfam family "Eukaryotic large subunit ribosomal RNA", at positions 107 to 605 of the family's 3401-position model. The record is from RNAcentral. Lineage: Eukaryota; Fungi; Ascomycota; Dothideomycetes; Dothideales; Saccotheciaceae.